Hyaena hyaena (striped hyena) is the source of this 259-nucleotide long non-coding RNA. RefSeq lists it as uncharacterized. The record is from RefSeq and is a predicted model, not a curated record. The transcript is spliced from 2 exons. NCBI's taxonomy places the organism in Eukaryota, Metazoa, Chordata, Mammalia, Carnivora, Hyaenidae.
GUUCUGUGGCUCCACUUCUAGAAUGCUCAAGUUACCCUGACAACCAAAAGGCACGGCAAAGCACAAGGGCACUGAUAGACAAUGAUCAGCUUCCAGCAACUGCUUUCACUUCCUUAGUCAGCAAAGACCGACGUGUUACCGUGGGUUAUAUACAUUCCUCUUCACCCUGGACACGAACUUGGGUCCCGGGUCAAUAGAUUUGAGCGCAAGAUUAAAGCAUGAAAACACAGAAGCAAAUAUACUGCACUGGAGCAUUAGC